This 253-nucleotide ribosomal RNA is filed under the name uncultured bacterium. Its description in RNAcentral is "partial 16S ribosomal RNA". It matches the Rfam family "Bacterial small subunit ribosomal RNA", at positions 524 to 776 of the family's 1533-position model. The record is from RNAcentral.
UACGGAGGGUGCAAGCGUUAUUCGGAAUUACUGGGCGUAAAGCGCGUGCAGGCGGUCAGGCAAGUCUGAUGUGAAAGCCCCGGGCUUAACCUGGGAAGUGCAUUGGAAACUGCAUGACUUGAGUACUGGAGAGGAAGGGAGAAUUCCCGGUGUAGAGGUGAAAUUCGUAGAGAUCGGGAGGAACACCAGUGGCGAAGGCGCCCUUCUGGACGGUUACUGACGCUGAGACGCGAAAGCGUGGGGAGCAAACAGG